AACGGCAAUAACAGUCGUUACACAAGUGUGGGUAAAGAAAUAACUUAAGAAAACAAUUUAUUUAAUAAUACUUAUUACCUAGAUCAUUUUUUAAACAGAAUCGUCUAACAAUUUGUAAUUCUUAAACGUUUUAACGUAAUAUGUGAAAAUAAGCUUCCGGUUAUACGACUUCAUUAGGGGCUUCCGCUUCUGGUAAAGCAGAACAAUUUAAACGAAGAUUGAAAAGAGGAGCCAUGCAUGCAUUCAACACGGAUCAUGGUGGGUGUCGGAGCGGUCUCUCCUGUCGUCCUUUAGGGAUCCCUCACAGUGAAGCAUGAGGAUCAGAGUACAGCUGGACUGUGGAAGUCUGUCUUUCUCCUACCCGGUCGACAGAAUCUCCACAAGUUCACACAUCUAUGGAGACGUGUUCACCUACUUCUGUAAUCUGGAUGAAGACACACACCACCCUCUGAAGCUGCUACCAGAAUAUGUCUGUACGUGUGGAACCUUUUUUUCUUUUUCAACAGUUACCUUCAGAAUUGACUUCGGGUUACUUUUUUUGCAUGCAUUUUCUGAGGGCUUCUGAAAUUGUCAAAUGUAAUUAUAUAUGCAAAACCUGUGCAGCCACAUACUGUAGUUUUAUGUUCCUCAGAUGUUAAUCCAGAUCAGAACGGUUUCUGUUCAGAUUGAUGUUUGCUAAUUUCCCUUGAGCCUUUUGCAUUGUGUUUCUGAUUAAAAUAAGUUUGAGAUUUUCAACAAACAAGAGGCCGGGUCUAUAUCUGCAUAUAAACUCAACCAUUUGUUUCUUGUAUAGAUAUAGUCUACUACAAGUUUGAAUGCAUGACCAAAGGUAUGUGGACACAUUCUCGUCAAACAGCUUAUUAGUCCCCUCCUUGCUGAUUUAACAGCCUCAACUCUUCUAGGAAGACUUUCCACUAGAUGUAGAAACAUUUCUGCAGGGACUUGCUUCCAUUCAGUCACGAGCAUUCUUGAGGUCAGGCUCUGUUGGGCGACUAGGCCUAGCUUGCCGUCAGCACUCUAAUUCAUACAAAGGUGUUUGACGAGGGUUAAGUUCUUCCACACCGAUCUUGACAAACUAUUUCUGUAUGGGGUGGCAGAGUAGCCUAGUGGUUAGAGCGCUGGCCUAGUAACCGAAAGGUUGCAAGUACAAAUCCCCGAGCUGACAAGGUACAAAUCUGUCGUUCUGCCCCUGAACAGGCAGAUAACCCACUGUUCCUAGGGCGUCAUUGCAAAUAAGAAUGUGUUCUUAACUGACUUGCCUAGUUAAAUAAAGGUAAAAUACAAAUAAAUGGAGCUCGCCUUGUGCACAGGGGCAUUGUCAUUCUGAAAAGGGAAAGGGCCUUCCCCAAACUUACCAGAAAGUGGGAACUACAGAAUUGUCCAGAAUGUUAACCAUUGUAUGCAGUAGAGGUAAGAUUUCCCUUCUAGAACUAAGGGGUCUAGCCCAAACAUGUAAAACAACCCCAAACCAUUAUUCCUCCACCAGACUUUACAGUUGGCAUUGGGGCUUGUGGUGUUUUCCUGGCAUCUGCCAAAUGCAGAUUUGUCUGUUGGACUGACAUGGUGAUUCGGCACUCCAGAAAACGCGUUUCCCCUGCUCCAGAGUCCAAUGCUGGCGAGCUCUACACCACUCCGGCCGAGUUUGGCAUUGCGAUCUUAGGCUUGUGUGGCUGCUUGUCCAUGGAAACCCAUUUCAUGAAGCUCCCGUCAAACAGUUCUUCUGCAGAUGUUGCGUCUAGAGGCAGUUUGGUAGUGAGUGUUGCAACCGAAGACGGACUAUAUAAUUUUACGCGCUUGAGCUGUUGCUCCUAGACUCUUCCACUUUACAAUAACAGCACUUACAGUUGACUGGGGCAGCUCUUGCAUGAACUGACUUGUUGGAUAGGUGGCAUUCUAUGACGGUGCCAUGUUGAAAGUAACUGAGCUCUUCAGUGAGGCUAUUCCACUGCCAAUGUCUGGCUAUGGAGAUUGCCUGGCUGUGUGCUCGUAAAAAAAACACUUUUUUUACUUACCUGACAGCAACGGGUGUGGCUGAAAUGUCCACAUACUUUGUGUAUAGAUAGAUAUUGUAUAUGACAGGAUUGCAUUACCAGGUUAAUUGUGAUUUUGCCCCAGGAAGGGUUAAAUGUAGAGGAGUUCUAUUGUGUUCAUGUUAAAUUCUCUUUUUUGACACAACACAACUUAUUUUUUUUACUUGUGUGCAACUAAAUAAGUUAUUUCACUACUUUGUUAGACAUUGUUACAGCCUGAACAAAUAUAAUAGCAAUGUAAAAUGUGGAUAUUCUUCAUGUUAGGGUCUGACAUCUAAGCGUCCUGAUGGCAAGGCAGACAAAUGCAAAUCUCUUUGAAACCGAAGAAUCUAUUGGAGAAAUAAGUGGUCGCCAACUGAAUGUGCUUCAAGCUAAUUUGAAUAUUUUAAUAGACCUUUCCUUGUUGAUACCCAAAUCUUUCUCCUCAAACAUUGUUUCCUAUCACUCCUUGGCUUGAUGAAAUCUCUGAUAUUUUUUCUUAUCAGAUGGUGUUGAAGGGAGAUAAUCGCAUUCAAUAAAAUCAAACUUUAAAUUUU
Oncorhynchus kisutch (coho salmon) is the source of this 2566-nucleotide long non-coding RNA. RefSeq lists it as uncharacterized. The record is from RefSeq and is a predicted model, not a curated record. NCBI's taxonomy places the organism in Eukaryota, Metazoa, Chordata, Actinopteri, Salmoniformes, Salmonidae. The transcript is spliced from 2 exons.